GGAAUAUUGGACAAUGGGGGUAACCCUGAUCCAGCAAUGCCGAGUGAGUGAUGAAGGCCCUCGGGUCGUAAAGCUCUUUCAGCAGGGAGGAAGCACUGCCUGUACCUGAAGAAGAAGCACCGGCUAACUCCGUGCCAGCAGCCGCGGUAAUACGGAGGGUGCAAGCGCUGUUCGGCAUCAUUGGGCGUAGAGCGCGUGUAGGCGGCCAACUAAGUCUGAUGUGAAAGCCCGGGGCUUAACUCCGGAAGUGCAUUGGAUACUGGUUGGCUAGAGGGCGAGAGAGGGAAGUGGAAUGCCUGGUGUAGGGGUGAAAUCCGUAGAUAUCAGGAGGAACAUCAGUGGCGAAGGCGGCUUCCUGGCUCGUUUCUGACGCUGAGACGCGAAAGCGUGGGGAGCAAAC
RNAcentral lists this ribosomal RNA (400 nucleotides) under uncultured bacterium. Its description in RNAcentral is "bacterial SSU rRNA". It matches the Rfam family "Bacterial small subunit ribosomal RNA", at positions 358 to 773 of the family's 1533-position model. The record is from RNAcentral.